This 4804-nucleotide long non-coding RNA is filed under the name Sus scrofa (pig). RNAcentral's name for it is "lncRNA (ENSSSCG00040019921.1)". The record is from RNAcentral. Lineage: Eukaryota; Metazoa; Chordata; Mammalia; Artiodactyla; Suidae.
AUGCACGCUUAUUGGUUACCUACUCUCCGUGGUACCAUGUCCCUAUUUAUCUACCAACAUUCUCUGAGACUUUCAAAAAAAAAUUCCUAGUACUCGAAUCCUUGUUUCAGUCUGUGUCUGGGAAAAUCCAAGCAAUGAUCACAGCACCUUGCACACUGAAAGACCAGAAGUGGAGAGGGAAUGCUAAGUGCUAGAAGAACCAUGUCUUCUCUUCUUCUGGUGAGGUAUUUCAUACAGUCCUUCAGCUGCCUCCAGGUAGAGCAGAUGAGAAAUCAGGCACUGUACACUGGAUACACUCUUUCAGCUCUCUGAACCUUGAUACAUUGCUUUGAGUCCAUUAUAAGCAUGAGUACAAGAGAGCUUGUGAAUGAUGCAAACUGAUAGCUCUCCAGUCGGUCUGUCCUCAUUUCUCAUUUUGAAGAUUCUAUUGUGGAUUACGUGCUCCAACACAAAAUCUCAUCACCAUUUUGUGGUUUCCUAGCUAAUACUCAGGAAAACAGAAACCAACUGGUAUUUUAUCAUUCACCUUUGUUACCAUGUUCAUGGGGGUAUGUAAUAAAAGAAUCAAUGAAUAAUAGGAUCUUAGAACAGAAAAGAACUUGGAGACCAUGUAGUCCUAAUCCAUCAUUUUAUAAAUAGGAAAAUUUUGAUUAAGAAAACUCAAUGACUGCCCAUAACAACAAGAACAGUGAAUUUAUUCCGUAAUUCUUUGUCUAGUACUCAGGCAGACAGUGGAGUCAGAUGUACCAAGACAGUGUUCCACACUCUUCCAUCUCUAUCAGUGUCCUGAUUAUUCCUGUACCUUUUUUUUUCCAUUUAAGAUGAUCAAUGUGUGGAUGCUUCCCUUUACUCUAUUAGAUCUGCUUUAAGAAAAGGGCCUAAAAUCAUCCAUAGUGAAAAUGACUGGAAACAGCUUCCACUGUGACACAUAUCAAGGAUAUUUUUAUUUUAGCAAGAAUCCAACUGCUAAGCUGAAGGGAUGAACCAUUUCAGAAAUCCAGUAGUGGGCAGGGGAGGUAAGGGAAGUAAACAGUAUUCUUUUCUGAAAGCCUGAAAUCUCUCCAUUUAUUACAUUCUCUGAGUAUGUUGCCCAAUAUUAGGCAUACUAUGCUUAAAUAGUAAUGCUAUGAGAUAAUGCAGAUAGGAAAACAUUUAACAUAAUGAUCCAUGAAGUGCAAAACAAAUCUGUCACAGAUAAUCCAUUUCCAGCCUACCUCCCAAGUGGGAAGUGACCUUCCCCACAAAACAGAGUUUCAAUGUUCUUAUUGCCACAGUCCAGAAAACAGGACUCCUGAAAAAAAAAACCUCCACCAAAGACAAUAUAGACACUUAUAUAAUAGAACUGUACAUAACAGGAAGAAAUUAAUGUGGCAUAAAAUGCACAGCUUCCAGACAUGAAAAUCUUGAGUUCCUGAAUGAUGACCUAACAUAUUUAAGCUUCAGCUUUCUCAACUGGCAAUUUUAACUACUUAUCUUUGCCUUCUCUACCUCACAGGCAUAUCACAAUUAUGACAUUGAUUAAAUGAUGAGAAUGUAAGGUAUACAUAUUUUCUAUAUAUGAGUAGCCAUACAGGGUAUAUAUUUGUCAUAUUUUUCAAAAAUGGGUUUUUAAGGGCUUUUCAAGGUGUAUGUGGAAUAAUGCAUUGUUUUUGUUAUGGUCAAACUUUGCUAUCAAACAACACAGAAACUCAAAACUGGAACUGUAUGCUAGGAAAGAAUGUAACAGGUGACUUCCCAUAAGUACUGAUUUCAAGCAUUUUCAUUGUCAAAGUUUAUACAGUUUGGAAAGGUGUUAAGAAAACUACAAAUCAGUCAGUAGAACCACUUAUAAAUUUCAGAAUUAUCUCUCCAAGCUCAAAUGAAAAGCAUGGGAAAAAUCAAAAGAAUAUAAUUUUUUGGAAAUUCCAUUGGAAACUUGGUAAAAUUCUUUUUUUUUUUUUAUUUUCCCACUGUACAGCAAGGGGGUCAGGUUAUCCUUACAUGUAUACAUUACAAUUACAGUUUUUCCCCCACCCUUUCUUCUGUUGCAACAUGAGUGUCUGGACAUAGUUCUCAAUGCUAUUCAGCAGGAUCUCCUUGUAAAUCUAUUCUAAGUUAUGUCUGAUAAGCCCAAGCUCCCGAUCCCUCCCACUCCCUCCCCCUCCCAUCAGGCAGCCACAAGUCUCUUCUCCAAGUCUAUGAUUUUCUUUUCUGAGGAGAUGUUCAUUUGUGCUGGAUAUUAGAUUCCAGUUAUAAGGGAUAUCAUAUGGUAUUUGUCUUUGUCUUUCUGGCUCAUUUAUUAAUUACUGAAUAGUUGGCUGACUUUCCCAAGGCCAAAAACUAUGUGUUAUUUUGGGUUCUCCCAGAAGGCAAAGAUAAAGUAGGGAAAUGCGACAUGGAAGUGGGGGAAUGCAAUGCAAGGUACAUUAUCAAGUCAGCUACCACUGUGGGAGAAUGGAGCUUACUUCUGCUGGGGAAACUGUGUGAGUCAGUGUAGACCCUAUGUCUCAGAGUUACCCAACUUAGGGUGAAAGAGCUGAAGUUUUUAUAUUCUCACUGUUUAAGGGUUACUCCCAGGAGGUAAUAAUACCUCAUUCAACAUGUCUAGCCUGCUUCUGUGGCAGCAAGGUGAGCUCCAGAAGGUGAGAACAUUCUGAAACAAAGAGGUGCGGGUGCUGGUAGACAGAAGGCAGGGCUCAGACAUGUAUACACCCUAUAUGGAUAUUCACACAAAGACAACAUGUGUACCUUACAUUAUCAUCCUUGUCAUCCCUGAAACAUGCCUGUGAGAUAGAAAGGGCAAAGCUGAGCAUCCCCCAACUGACAGAACAAGGAGACACAAGCAGGGCCCUGAGAAUAUAUGCUACACACCAUGAAGUGGCUAAGUCAGAACUUGAACCCAGGUCUUUAGAUGCCUAGAGCAGGCUCACCCAACUCAAGCAUGCUGCCUUCGACUAUACCUUAUCCUUGCUGCCUACCAACCAUGUUAGUUUCUGUAUUAAAUUCUUAGAAGAAAGCAGGAAAUAUGUAAACAAUUUCAUAAAACAGUGAAAAUAUGGAGUGAUAGUUACAUAUUGAAUUAGCAUGAUGUUGUAAAGCAUUUAUUUUUGAAUGUGACAUUAAUUGAGUCACACUGUUUGGGAAUUUAUAACUGAAUUGCAAUAAACAAGUCUAUGGUUGCUCUAUUGACUAAAGAAUAUAUUUUUUGUUUCUUUACAAGAAUAUUGUGCUUAUAUAAAAAUAAGCUUUAGAAAUUUGGUAAAGCUUCAACUGUAUUUCAGGACACGCACAAUUUGAAAUAUAUAUAUAUAUUUUUGCCAAUGCCAGUGUGCUUACUGCUGGGACUAGCAAGCCCCAGGCUGCAUCAACAAUCUCAACUUCACUGCUGUUUAUAAGGGAAUUUUUCAACUAUAUUCUGUAAAUAAAUAGUACGAAUCUGUGGAUUUAUACUACUUAAUUCAUCACAUAGCUCUAAGUUCCAAGUCAUUUUGCUACAGGGAAUGUAGAUGACAUGGCAACCCAAAGCUCACACGGAAAUGGGUCAUAUAGCCACUUAAUAGUGGGGCUGAAAAAAAUAUAUAUAUAAAUAAAUAAUAAAAAAAUAGUGGGGCUGAAAUAAUAACAACAAUAAAAGGCUAUCAUUUGAACUACCAUAUUAUUUCCUCCUUGAUGAGCAACAUGAGGUUUUUUGGUUGUUUUUUUGUUUGUUUGUUUUAUUUUCAAUUAUUAGCUGCCUCAUUGUUACCCAGGAAGAAAGAAUCUUUAUGGGUAUGAAUCCUUUGCCUCUAAGCUGACUCUCUAAGUUAGAACAAACGUCUGGUUUUAAGAUAUAACUAAUGUGGUAAAAGGGCAUCUCCUCUGGCUCCUCUCCAAGCCAUGCAGACUGUUCCAUGGGUUGAAGAAGCCCUGCUCAUGAGGGGUGCUUGCUGGUGGCCCAAGCACAUCCUGGUUUCACCUCCUUUUUGGUAAGUCCAAGAAGCUGCCAAGAAACAACUGGUGAGAGCAAAGUGACUGCUUCUCCAACUUUCCCAGAAGUUCAGGCAGAUACUUAUUUUCUCAGGAGAGCAAGGUAUCAAUUCUUCCUCCCUUCUCAUGGAAUGUAGGAUAUUGAGGGUUACUUGGCCAAGAAAAUAAUGUCCUUUUGAAGUGCUGAACGAUAAUGAUGAAAAAUCCUGAAGUAGACAGUGCAAGGGAUGAUUACAUUAUUUUGAAUAUAAAACUAAUCCAAUCUCAUAAAUAUUAUUAAGAAUUAUUAUGUUCUUUCUAAACAUCUUUUUUUUUUUAAAAUUUGAAGUACAGUUGAUUCACAGUAUUGUGUUAGUUUCUGUUAUACAGCAUACUGAUUUGGUUAUUUUUCCAGAUUAUAUUCCAUUACAGGUUAUUACAAGAUAUUACAUAGAAACCCCUGUGCUGUAUAGUAAAUCCUUGUUGCUUAGCUAUUUUACGUAUAAGUAGUUUGUAUCUGCUAAUCCCAUUCUCCUAAUCUGUCUCUCCCUCCCUCUCUCCUUUGUAACCAUAAAUUUAUUUUCUAUGUUUGUGAGUCUGUUUCUGUUUUAUAUAUGACUUAUUUGGAGUUCCCCUCAUGGCUCAGCAGAAACGAAUCUAACUAGCAUCGAGGACGCAGGUCCGAUCCCUGGCUUUGCUCAGUGGGUUAAGGAUCCGGCAUGGCCGUGAGCUGUGGUGUAGGUUGCAGACGUGGCUCGGAUCCUGCAUUGCUGUGGCUGUGGUGUAGGCCAGCACCUACAGCUCCAAUUUGACCCCUAUCCUGAUAACCUUCAAAUGCUGUGGGUGUGGCCCUAAAAAGACAAAAAAAAAAAAAAAAAAA